This 439-nucleotide ribosomal RNA is filed under the name uncultured bacterium. Its description in RNAcentral is "partial 16S ribosomal RNA". It matches the Rfam family "Bacterial small subunit ribosomal RNA", at positions 339 to 795 of the family's 1533-position model. The record is from RNAcentral.
CUACGGGUGGCACCAGUGAGGAAUAUUGCACAAUGGGGGGAACCCUGAUGCAGCAACGCCGCGUGGAGGAUGACGCAUUUCGGUGUGUAAACUCCUUUUAUAUGUCAAGAAAAUGACGGUAGCAUAUGAAUAAGCACCGGCUAACUCCGUGCCAGCAGCCGCGGUAAUACGGAGGGUGCAAGCGUUACUCGGAAUCACUGGGCGUAAAGGACGCGUAGGCGGUUUGGAAAGUCAGGUGUGAAAUCCUACAGCUUAACUGUAGAACUGCACUUGAAACUCUCAAUCUAGAGUAUGGGAGGGGCAGAUGGAAUUAGUGGUGUAGGGGUAAAAUCCGUAGAUAUCACUAGGAAUACCUAAAGCGAAGGCGAUCUGCUGGAACAUUACUGACGCUAAGGCGUGAAAGCGUGGGGAGCAAACAGGAUUAGAUACCCGCGUAGUC